Molecule: ribosomal RNA, 188 nt
Filed under: uncultured bacterium
Lineage: Bacteria
Description: partial 16S ribosomal RNA
Rfam family: Bacterial small subunit ribosomal RNA
Source: RNAcentral
CCUACGGGAGGCAGCAGUGAGGAAUAUUGGACAAUGGGUGAGAGCCUGAUCCAGCCAUCCCGCGUGAAGGAUGACGGUCCUACGGAUUGUAAACUUCUUUUGUAUAGGGAUAAACCUCUCUACGUGUAGAGAGCUGAAGGUACUAUACGAAUAAGCACCGGCUAACUCCGUGCCAGCAGCCGCGGUAA